RNAcentral lists this ribosomal RNA (264 nucleotides) under uncultured bacterium. RNAcentral's name for it is "partial 16S ribosomal RNA". It matches the Rfam family "Bacterial small subunit ribosomal RNA", at positions 524 to 776 of the family's 1533-position model. The record is from RNAcentral.
AACGGGGGGUACAAGUGUUAUUCGUCUUGACUGGGCGUAAAGCGCAUGUAGACAUGUAUAUUAAACACUUUGUAAAAUCGUGUAUUGUUUAUAUCUUUGCAAUUUGUACUAAUAUCCUAUUUAGAGUAUAUUUUCAGGUUUGUAGAAUUUUUUAAAAAGGGCUAAAAUCCAAUAUUUAUGACUAAAAGAAUUCCAAAGAAAGAGCGAAGGCAACAAGCUAGAAUAUACUGACGUUGAGAUGCGAAAGCAAGGGUAGCCAAUAGG